RNAcentral lists this long non-coding RNA (4610 nucleotides) under Salvia miltiorrhiza (redroot sage). RNAcentral's name for it is "long non-coding RNA (SMIL_LNC004866)". The record is from RNAcentral. Lineage: Eukaryota; Viridiplantae; Streptophyta; Magnoliopsida; Lamiales; Lamiaceae.
CUUUGAGGAAGCAGCCAUGGCGAGCAGCGGUGGGCAAAGGGUGCUGUCGACGAAGGAGGCCGACAUUCAGAUGAUGUUGGCAUCCGAAGUUCACCUCGGCACUAAAAACUGCGAUUUUCAGAUGGAGCGCUACGCUUUCAAGCGCCGCAACGAUGGUAAAUUGCGAUCGAAUCAAAAUGCCGUUUGGUGAUGACAGAUUUUCUUUUCUAUACUGCUAGUUUACUUUUUUCAUUUUUUUUUAUUGUGUGUACAAUCUCCGGUUUGUUAUGUGAAUGGAUUUAAGGUUUUGAAAACCAUUGGGGUUUAUGUACAAUCGUUUGUCGCAGCUUUUAACUGCUUGUCGUUUUGGGUGAAUUGCUUUUCUAUUGUUGCUAGGAACACUCAUUUUGGCAUUAGGAGAUACACUUAUUGGUUUCCUUUGACUGAUUAUCAGGAUUGAGCUCUGUGAAGUUUUUGAUGAAGUUGAUAUAUGUUUCCUUGGAUAUUGUAGUUGCUUCAUAAUAAGUAGUCGAGAUUUUCUAAUUAUCUGCUAGGAUGAUUAUAGUGUGGAUAUGCCUUUAUCAAUUCUAUUAUCUGUUGAGCCCUGUAAAGUUUUUGAUGGAGUUAAUUUAUGUUUCCUUGAAUACUGCAGUUGGUUCAGAAUAAGUAGUCAAAAUUUUCCAAUUGUCUGCUAGGAUAUUUACAGUGUGUAUAUGCUUUUAUAAAUUCUAUUGUCCGUUUCUCUUGAAUUGAACCUCCUAGGUUUCACAAAUGCUUUUGAGUUAGUUAAGUUUAUAGCUUUUGCUGUCAAAGGUCUCAAAACCAAUCAAUUGCGUUGUGAUGCUGACUUUCCCCAUGUUUGUCUGUGACUUGUCUGUCUAAAUUGCGCAUAUGAUAAAUCGGUCAGGAAUUUUUAUAAUCAAUGUUGGGAAAACGUGGGAAAAGCUUCAAAUGGCUGCAAGGGUUAUCGUAGCUAUCGAGAAUCCCCAGGACAUCAUUGUCCAGUCGGCCAGACCAUAUGGUCAGAGGGCCGUGCUAAAAUUUGCCCAGUAUACUGGCACUCAGGCAAUUGCAGGACGACACACCCCAGGAACUUUCACUAACCAGCUUCAGACAUCGUUCAGUGAGCCGAGGCUCCUCAUUCUUACUGAUCCGAGAACUGAUCACCAGGUCAUUGCUCACUUAUAGAUUGGUUUUAACCCGUUGUAGUUUCAUAUUAUUUUGGUUGGUGUUAUCUAUCAUUGCUCUGAUAUUCUAUUCUUUAACAGCCUAUUAAGGAAGGUGCUUUGUCUAGCAUCCCUAUCAUUGCCUUCUGCGAUACGGAUUCCCCUAUGCGCUACGUUGAUAUUGGUAUCCCGGCCAAUAAUAAGGGGAAGCACAGCAUUGGCUGCCUGUUCUGGCUGUUGGCCAGGAUGGUGUUGCAGAUGCGUGGAGUAAUUGCUCCAGGACACAAAUGGGAAGUCAUGGUAAAUAAGUCUUAAAUACUUGGUCUCGUUAUAAUACUUUCUUGCGAGGCUGUGCUUUUGAGCAUGAGGCAACUAGAAGAAUGCGUAAUGAAUUUAUGGUAGCUUGGGAUGGCUUGAGGUCAAAAGACAACCGGAGAAUCAUAGCAGGUUGAUUAACUAGUUCUUGAGGACUUGGUGCUUUAAACAUUGUAUGAUAGAUUUUUGUUUUAGCUAUAAGGUAGUUGGUAUUUUCAAUUUUGAAUCGGAAUAUGCAAUGAUGAUGUAUACUUGAUAUUUGGUUCAUUUGUAUAAUAAUGUAUGAAUUUUUUGGAUGAUAUAUAAUAUUGUUAUCGUUGAUUUUAUCAUUUUGUAGUUUUAUAAAAUUGCAAAAUUUAAAAUAUACUACAAUUAUAUAAAGUGCAAAAACUGUUAUAAAAGGUGCAAAAAAUCGUUAUGUAUUCUAAUUAAAGAUAACGGUUAAAUCGUUAUAAAAAGUGCAAAAAAUCGUUAUAAAAAGUGUCAAAAACCGUUAUGUAUUCUAUCAAAGAUAACGGUUAAAACCGUUAUAAAAAGUGCAAAAAACUGUUAACUAUGAUAAAAAAAUAAAAUAAUAAUAAUAAUACAUAACGGUAAAAUCUUAAUACAUAACGGUGAAAAACCGUUAUGUAUUCUAUCAAAGAUAACGGUUAAAACCGUUAUAAAAAGUGCAAAAAAACUGUUAACUAUGAUAAAAAAAAAAAAAUUAAUACAUAACGGAAAAAUCUUAAUACAUAACGGUGAAAAACCGUUAUGUAUAACCUUUAUAGAUAACGGAUGCGUACUGUUAUGUAUGACGCAUCGUACCGUUAUCUAUGCUACUAUACAUAACGGUUUUGAAACCGUUGUGUAUGACGUAUAGAAUAGAUAACACCACUAUACACAACGGUUUUUUUGCUCAUAGAUAACGGAUAAAAUCCGUUAUCUAUGAGCGUUUUCUAGUAGUGACUAUGUGUGAGCCACCGCUAGGUAAUGUGUGCACUAGUAUGGAGGUUCAUUAUAUGGUGUUAGUUGGCUUGGUAUGCUUUUAUGUGUGCCUGUGGCAGUUAGUGAUGCAUUAAUUACAAACCACAAAAUAGCUACCACCUUAUAUGUGUGGAAUCUUUACAAAAUGAUGAUUACAUGCUAAACAACAACUACAUAUAACUAGUUUGUUGCUUAUGCUGUNUCUCUCUCGUUCUUCCUUCUCCGGCGCAUCUCUCCGUCAGCCAUUUCACCCUUAUCGCCUCUUUCUAUGGCCUCUGAUGAAAUCCGGCGAGCCGCCGCUUUCAACGGCUCCAUGCUCUCUCUCCCUUCUUUGUCUUCCAAUGAACCCCCACCUCCAAAUCUAGAACCCUAAGACUUCGUACUUCUCCGCGCCGCCCUUUUCCGCCGACCUUUCCGCGCCGCCUUCUCUCCCCGUCAAUAUCCACGGACGCCUCCUUCUGUUCCGUCACAUCUCCCCCUCUCCCGUCGCCUCUCUCUCUUUCCCACGUCCAAAUUUUAAACCCUACGGUCGCCGCCCCCGCCAUCAGAUCCUCCGCCCCGCCCUUAGUGCGCCGGCUGCGUCGCCCCCACCCACCUCCUCUGGCCUCGGCGCUUCUGUUGGUCCGUCCGGUGACUCCACUAUUUCCUUGAAUGCCUCUAUUACCCUCGGCUGCAAUUCAGUCUACAAAUCUUAGAUUCACAAUCGCUGCCUUCGUUGUUAUCCGUCAAUACUUGUUGUCUCCACUUCACUGCGUUGCAGUUAUCCACAAUCAAUUCGUGAAAUUGAGGUAAGUUUUUUGGUCCGAUUGUUUGAUUUCAGUGUAGUUGAGGCUUCUUCUGAAAGUUUAUUAGUUCUGAACUAUGAUUAUCGGAUAGUAGCAGACAGAUUUCGUUUGUGUAAUUUGGUCGAAAAUCACUUCCGAACGGGUUCAUUUAUAGAGUCUUUACAUUUGUUUUCUGAUAUUAGUCUUUAAGAAGUCAUAGUGUGGAUGCUGAUAGUUGCAUUUUGUUGUGAAGAUAAUGGUAAUUGGUGAUGAAUUUUGUCAUAGAGAAGUAUGGGUGACAUCUUCAAUUGGUGAUGAGUUUAACUGCUUUGGGAAUAUCCUGUUUGACUAAAGGUUACGAUUCUCAUAUGGAUAGCACUUCUUCCAUAGAAGGAUUAUAAAGAAAAAAAUACUUAAACUCUCACAAUUUGUCUGUUUUCUAUUUCCGUUCAUUGCUGAUCUCACUUAAGACGAGGUAUUCUUUCUCACAAAUCCUGUUAAUUUACUAAUAAAUUAGAUACUAUAAAGGAUUUAAACAGAUUGACGCUAUUAAGUCGAGACUCGAGCAGGAGUGCCUUGCAAUUAUGUCUUGUGCUGAUAUUGUAGUUUUAUCAGCAAGAGUGGGUGGAGAUCAGUUCUCUCUCUCUCUCUCUCUCGCCAUUUCCUAUUCUCUGUAGUAGAGAAUAGUUUCAAGGUCUACUCUCAAUUCCUCUUUGUUUUAUUUUGUGCGUGUUUUAAAAUGUGUGGUGUUGUAGAAUGGUGCUAAUGGAGUUUUGUGUGAUGGUAUUUUGUGGUUUUAGGGUUCAAUUUGUGAAGUUUGUGUUAACUAGAUUCUGCUUACAGAUUAGUCGUUGUAACUAGGAAUAUGAAUUUAUCAGCAAUAUUAUCCUUGAAGAGACACUAAUGAGGUUUCUAUUUGUAGCUAGAUUCUAUUUGUAGUGUUCAGAUCACAUGCACUACUCAUAAUGAGGUUUCUCCUGUUUGAGAUUAAUUCUGCUCUGCAUGUUAUUCAGAUUGGAAAAAUAUCAAAGAGAUCAAUGACUCAUCCUUAAGUAGUUACAUCUUCAUUUCUUUUUAUAAUGUUAAUUUAUGAAGGAGAUUAUUAGUUUCUUACCUCUCAGCUAUGAGAGCAUGUUCCUGAAAAUCCUUUGAGGAAGCAGCCAUGGCGAGCAGCGGUGGGCAAAGGGUGCUGUCGACGAAGGAGGCCGACAUUCAGAUGAUGUUGGCAUCCGAAGUUCACCUCGGCACUAAAAACUGCGAUUUUCAGAUGGAGCGCUACGCUUUCAAGCGCCGCAACGAUGGUAAAUUGCGAUCGAAUCAAAAUGCCGUUUGGUGAUGACAGAUUUUCUUUUCUAUACUGCUAGUUUUACUUUUUUCAAUUUUUUUUUAUGUGUGUACAAUCUCCGGUUUGUUAUGUGAA